GAAAGAAGUUAUUGAUAUACACAAACGCAGAAACACACAUUUUGUGUACCUGCAUACUAAACUCAGAGCUGCGCGCUUUCAUUCCGUGCCCUCUGUGACUCUUCCUCUGUGGCGCUUGCGCGCGCACACGACUCUCUUCUUUCCUGUCUGCCGGCUCUUUCCUCUCAAGCAUUUUUCGCUAUGCGAUAGCUGCUGUUAUCUUUUCUUCACUCUUUCUGGGCGCGCACAUCACCACAGGUGCUCCUCGCAUCGUGACGAACGGUCUCUACCCCCUUUUUUAUCUGUGGAUCGUUGGUUGCCUUGCAUAAUCGGAGGGCGGAGGUGAGGCCACACGAGACGUGCGGCUGUUUCGUUUCCAUUUUUUUCUGUUGUUUUUUCUUGCAUCCUCUCCGCAUCCAGCAGAUCUUUGGGUGGCCCUUCGCUGUGUAUUUGGGGUUUUCCUUUUUGUUUCGCGGCGGCUGUACAGCCUGUGUCGUCGUCUGCGUGUGCGUGCUUGUGUGUGCGUGUGGGUGUGUGCCAUCAUCCUCUUUUUCCGCUUCUCUUUUAUUCCUUUUUUCGCCUCACCACACCCGUCCUCCUUUGUUUGGUGCUUAUCUUUUUUUGUUUUCAUUCCCUCCUCCCCCUUUCCCAGUCGGCGUCGUCUCUCUCCCGCCGCUCCUUUUUUUUCGUUGUUGUUGCCCGAAGCAGACACACCCACACCGACACGGAAAAAGGCAGCGAGUUCCGGUCCCUGCUUGCUCCUUCGAUACUUGUGGCCUAUGUCGUCUUCUGCAGGCGACUACGGUGAGUCCUAUCAGCGGUCCGACGAGCGCAACGAGUUGGCGCCGUCUGGGGAGAAGAGCGAAAAUGCCGCGUACGGUUGGCCUUCAGAGAUGCUGAACGCGUGCACAGACUUUUCAGCGCCACAGAGUUCGUACCAGCUUAACGCGCAGACACCUCCUCCGUUCGCGCCGUUCGCACCGUCGCCGCUGAGCCGACCCGCUUCACAAUCCGCCCCGACGCAGCAGCGUAGUGAGGGCACCCCUUUGCAGGCAGAGACUGCCCGAAAGCACGGCUCAUCGUUAAGGGCUCACACCUCCACCUUUCACUCGACCUUGUCCUCCGCCGCGCCGAGUCUCGGUUCAGGUGAGCUCUCAUCGUCGCCCUUUCCACACCGGCACUCCGAUACUUACGAGAGGCCGCUGCCGCCCGAGGCCCUCGGCGCUCGGCAGCUUGUCGACUAUAUCUUCACUCCCCACUCCCCUGGGCGUCCCCACAGCUCCCUGUCGCCGCCGUCCGUCGUGCCCCGACCCUCCCCGCGUGAGAUCGGCUGGCCGAUGCCGUUGCUUGCUGAGCCGGUGAACCCAAGCUCGGGGCGGCGGCUUGUCUUCUUUGGCAAGGGCCAGCAACCCCAGUUUGUAUUGGGGGAGAAAAAGAACCGCUUUAUUGCGGUGACGUUUAAGCCAAUCCUAUCCGUCGCAGCUGCGGCCGUCGUUAGCGCCGCACCUGAGCUCGGAGACACUAGCACCACCACUGGCUACGCGUCCUACGGUACGGUACUGGGCUAUUCCGACGACAACACGAAGAUCGUGUGGCACGACCGGUCGGAGCGGUUUGCCAGCUACGUCUCACUCUCCAGCAUUCAGUCCAUUCACCGCGCUUCCGCCAUGCAGUGCAGGCACUGCGGGUUUGUGCUGCUCAAGCAGGAGCUGCGAGAGCACAUGAAUACGCACAAGAAAGGCUCCGGCGUCGAGUACGGGGUCUUCACGGACGAUGAGUCGCUCGGCAUGCUGUGCGGUGAUUCGGGGCUCAUGCAGAAUCUGGCCUCGCCGCGCCGGCUGGGUGAGGGUGCGCAGGGCGUUGUAGACCUGAUGGAGGUGGUGCAGCCAACAAUGGAGGAGGUCGCGCAGGCUGGCCCAUCGAGUGCGGCGUACCGCUUCGUCAGCGAGCAUCUCUCUCACGAGAGUCGACUGCAGAAGGUUGUGCUGAAGUCGAUGCAUUUCAGCAGCGAGGCGAAAGCGCUGGAUGAGUACCAGAAGUCCGUUCGCUUCAUGACGGUAAUGCAGCAUCCUCACCUCGUCGAGUACCUAGCCGUGCAACUGAAGCCGGAUCGACGCACGGUGUGCAUUUGCAUGCCCUAUUAUCAAGAAGGUGACGUGGGGGCAAUGAUCCGCAGCUUCCGCGGCGACCACUUUGACGAGAGCUUCGUCUGCUCCGUUGCACUCCAGCUUUCUCUCGCCCUUGCCUUUCUGCACGAGCGCAACCCGCCGAUCGUCCACGGUGACCUGAAGGUGGAGAACGCCAUGUUUUACAACAACAAACAGCAGAUUGUUCUGACGGACUUGGACGCCAGUCGCGAGGUGCUGGGUGGGUACCAAGAAGCGGUGCAGUCGUCCCUGGGCACCACCGCGUACAUGGCACCAGAGACGCUGAAGGUAGAGCGGCUCAUGCCGUCGUCGGAUAUGUGGAGCCUGGGUGUCUUUCUUUAUGUCCUCACCGUGCUUCCGGACUUUCCGAUGAUCCUGAAUCCCAACACCCAAAACCUCGACCUGCUCAAUGCAGACUGCUGGGCCACCGAGGAGGACCUUCGCGCGAUGGAGUCCUACUCCAGCGCCCUGAACGACGGCCACUCCAAUGCGCCGUCCGUGAACGCCGGCAGCGGCAACUGCGGCAUUACCUUGGGGGAAUGUGUGCGAGCAAACAUCACACGCAAAGGAUACUCCCGCGAUCUCGCGCAGCUUGUCGUGGACUUACUGUCUUACAACCCACUGAAGCGGCCCACGGCGGAAGUGGUGGGGUGUCGCCUGACGGAGAUCAUGACGGACUACCUGCUGGAAUUUUAGUCUUCAAGCGGCUCGACUGGUACAUUUUUGUGCGUACGGUCGGUUGAGUAUGAGCACUGAGUGCACGCAGCGCGCGUCACGUUGUGUACUUUACAUGGGCGCACUGAUGCGCAUACUCUCACACACAUCCGCAAGUGGUUUUUCUUGUGUGUGUGUGUAUUUUGCGCGGGGGUUUCGAGGGCCACGUGUCAUUGCCCUCAGGUGUGUACGUGUCGGCCUCUCGGUCAGCUCUUUGGGUCAUGGGCCGCCAGAGGUGGCCGGUUUUGCCGUCUUCCUCGUGUUUCUUUUCGUGACGUAUGGCGCGGUUUUUCUCUCCAUUUGCUCGCACUCUUCUUUCGAUGGCCUCACUCUCCCCCCUCCCUGUCGCGCCUUUGCGCACGGUGCGACGGCAGCCUCUCUCACGCCUCGUCUCUUCUAUUUUGCUUCCCCCCUCUUCCCGUUCUCCUCCCAUUCGAUGCGGUCAAUGCGGGGAGGGGGUUGGAAGUGCGCGGUGGGGUGGGAGGGGCGGUGUUGUCUCCGCUUUCACCGUGCAUUUGCGUUGCAUAGCUUUCCCAUUCCUUUUUUUCUUUGGUCGUCGUCGUUGUUGGUUUGAUCGUAUUGCCUCUGUCGGGCGCUGUUUGCGCACUCCUUCCGUUUUUCUCGUGUUGUCCAGUGUUCUCUUGCGCUCUUCACCCCCACCCCCUUCUUGCUGUUUUCCAGCCUUGCACUUAUGGGUACGAGUGAGACACUGGAUAAACCCGCACGUACACACAUACACACAAGCGCACACACUGCCGCGAGCGCCUUGGGCUCAUAGGGGUGCCCAUGCGAGGUGUUGAGAAGGUUCGCAUGGGCAAACGGCAGCACGGCGAUUUUCUCGUUUCGCUCCGCGUUUGAGCUCUUCAUGGUGGCCGAUCCCCCUCUUGCACGCGGGGCGCGGAUGGAGGAGGGGGUGGGUGGGUACGAAAACAGGCGAGCGGCGACGACACUGGUGCGUCUGUGCAGAGUGCCGUCGUUGUUGCAGCGCCUGACAGCCACCCCAUGGCGAGGUUGAAGGCAUGGGAUGGGGACGAAGUGGCUGGAACGAUGCUGCUGUACAGCAAAGUGCUCGACUACGUCGCUCCAGGCUGUGCGCUGCCUUCCCCUCCCCACGAAGUAUCGCUCAUCCAACUCUUUUCAUUCUGCAUUCUUUCUCUUUUUCUCCUCCGCCCUUUGCGGGCCUCCUGCGUGUAUGUGUGUGGGCGUGGGCGGUGUUCAUAUGCUCGCGGCACUUGAUGUGAAG
Molecule: unclassified non-coding RNA, 4083 nt
Filed under: Leishmania donovani
Lineage: Eukaryota; Euglenozoa; Kinetoplastea; Trypanosomatida; Trypanosomatidae
Description: gene:LdHU3.16.1040(CDS-product:protein_kinase_put ative)
Source: RNAcentral